GCCCGCGAAAUUCUUUCCUCGUAGACGCAUGAGACGCUCCGUGAAGUUUUAGGUGUUUGGAAGUGCAUCUAGUGUUUGGUCUUUAGCCGACUGUACCCCCGCAAAGCAAAGCCAGCCGUGUGGACAGUGAAGAAGCAGAUAUUGCACGCUGAAAACAUCACCUCAUCACAGAUGCAUCGUGCACUGACACUAUCUUGUGGUCUCCAGAGACGAGUGCAACCUGCGCUAUGGGAAACCGGUACACAUCUUUGUGGAAACUGGCCCUGAGACAUUUCUGAAGAUCAGGAGUAGAGAUCAGAAAACAAAAAGCUUUGUGUCAGUAACAUGUCUUGAGGAGCUAAUCAGAGUUGCUGUGGGUCAUGGAAUUUGUCAGGAGGGCAACAUACAGGUGUAUUUAAUGGAUGAGUUAUCACUUCGCUCUAUGGUUGCUGGUGCUGAGAAAUGCCUCGAUGACAUUUUCAUUGUUAAAAAUGGACUAUGGAAACAAGAUCAGUCAACAUGUGUGAGUGCACCUUCACCAAUCCCACAAAUGCCUCUGCUCUCACGAAUUUAUGACCCUUGGGGGAGCCUCAGCAAGACAGUACUUGAUGCGUUGGAAGCAGACAAUGUUCUGCUUCCCUCUCAACGACAGGAAGUGGCACACAUGGCAGCGUCAUGUCCCUGCAUAUCCAUUGAAGGUGGGAGGCACUCCUGAUAUUUAUUCACAGGCACCUGGUUGGUAUCAUUGAGAACGAAGGGAGCCAGCAGGCAUAAAAAAAUCAAGAGGGCUACAUACAUAAAUGCGUGAGGCAAUGAGGGUCGCAGAUGAAUAUAGCAAGAAGUGGGAACAUCUCAUGUGAUACAUGGCGGUCAAAUGUUCCACCACCAAAGUCAUGUACAAGUUAUUUGUAGUCUUUUCAGUAAUUUCCAAAAUAAAGGGUUAUUAU
Long non-coding RNA from Ornithodoros turicata, 926 nucleotides. RefSeq lists it as uncharacterized. The record is from RefSeq and is a predicted model, not a curated record. The transcript is spliced from 8 exons. Lineage: Eukaryota; Metazoa; Arthropoda; Arachnida; Ixodida; Argasidae.